Molecule: long non-coding RNA, 1018 nt
Organism: Corticium candelabrum
Lineage: Eukaryota; Metazoa; Porifera; Homoscleromorpha; Homosclerophorida; Plakinidae
Exons: 2
Source: RefSeq, a predicted model, not a curated record
GCGAGUUGUCGGUUGUAAUGCGUUUGUUUGUGACUUUUGAGGUCGUGGAGAAAGUAGUGGCGCGAAGUUUCGCAUUUCUCUUGGUCUUCCAGCGUCAACUGCGCGGACAACAAGGGAGCGAAGAAUCUAUACAUUAUUGCUGUUCAUGGCACUAAGGGAAGGCUGAUCAGGCUGCCAGCGGCUGGAUGUGGUGAUAUGGUGGUCGCUAUGGUGAAGAAAGGAUAGCCGGAGUUGAGGAAGAAAGUAUCUCCAAGUGUAAAGGAAAGUAUUCCUUUGUCUCAAGUUGUUUAACCAGCAAGUGGCGAUUUUGUGAGUCAAAGGAAGCUUGAACAGAUAGCAGCAGAUAUAGGAAAGUUGUGGCCUAAACUAACAAGUAUUAUUGGUACUGACCAGUCUACAGUGUUGGAGCUGUAUGAAAAGAAUUCUGACCCCAGGUUUCUCAGGCAGCAGCAUCUCGUGUAGUAAGUGAGUGGCAAAUAUUAAGAAAUACCCGAUUGCAAGUAUGUGAAUUGUAUGAUGCUCUACUCGUUGCUCACAUUCCAUUUGUACUACAACAGCAUUUGAGUGAUGUCAUGUCACCCAAUGCAGCAUCUGGAUUAGAAUAAUCUAAAGAGACAGCUGCACGUGGUGAGACAAGUCGAGCUGACUCUGAGAUGGUCACGCCUCUCAUCAUAGAGAAAGUAGUCAAAAAUUGUUCAGAGCGUUGGCAUGAAAUUGGUAUAUACCUUGGAGUUUCACAAGCAAUGCUGACUGAAUGUAAACGACUACAGUACACGCUGAAAGAAAACGUCAAUUUAGUUUUGUCAACUUGAACAAAUGAAAACAGACAUACUACAGUUGCUCAUUUGUUGUGUGCUCGUGAUGAAGCUAAAGUGGGAGGAGCAGUGAGUAGAGGAUUGGACAGUGAUACACAACACUAAACUUAUUUUAUUUUAUCUAUUAUAUAACCAGUUUUUGUUUAAUUAACAUGAUAUCAUAUAAUAAAUCUGAAGUUGUGAAUAAAUUUGUAUUUGAAUGA